RNAcentral lists this small nucleolar RNA (259 nucleotides) under Torulaspora delbrueckii CBS 1146. The record is from RNAcentral. Lineage: Eukaryota; Fungi; Ascomycota; Saccharomycetes; Saccharomycetales; Saccharomycetaceae.
AAGGCAGACAUUACAUCUGGUGUGUUUAUUGAGUUGAGAAGGUGGUCUUGAUUCUUGGGUUUUACUUGUUGCAAUAAGUAAGAGUUUUUCUUGCGUGCUUGAAGUACUUCCUUGGUUUUAUUUCCAGUACCGACUCAAUUCAUGAAUUGCGCAUCGAAGUAACUAGAUUGCCCAGAAAUGGUUUUAACCACGCCCUUUUCGCUAACAACGACUGAUUAAAUCCACAGUACGUAGUUUGAUAGUAGGUGGGCGAACAUUC